AUUGAACGCUGGCGGCAUGCCUUACACAUGCAAGUCGAACGGCAGCACGGGAGCAAUCCUGGUGGCGAGUGGCGAACGGGUGAGUAAUAUAUCGGAACGUGCCCAGUCGUGGGGAUAACGUAGCGAAAGCUACGCUAAUACCGCAUACGAUCUAUGGAUGAAAGCGGGGGAUCGCAAGACCUCGCGCGAUUGGAGCGGCCGAUAUCAGAUUAGGUAGUUGGUGAGGUAAAGGCUCACCAAGCCGACGAUCUGUAGCUGGUCUGAGAGGACGACCAGCCACACUGGGACUGAGACACGGCCCAGACUCCUACGGGAGGCAGCAGUGGGAAUUUUGGACAAUGGGCGCAAGCCUGAUCCAGCAAUGCCGCGUGCAGGAUGAAGGCCUUCGGUUGUAAC
RNAcentral lists this ribosomal RNA (396 nucleotides) under uncultured bacterium. RNAcentral's name for it is "bacterial SSU rRNA". It matches the Rfam family "Bacterial small subunit ribosomal RNA", at positions 30 to 429 of the family's 1533-position model. The record is from RNAcentral.